This 255-nucleotide ribosomal RNA is filed under the name uncultured bacterium. RNAcentral's name for it is "partial 16S ribosomal RNA". It matches the Rfam family "Bacterial small subunit ribosomal RNA", at positions 524 to 776 of the family's 1533-position model. The record is from RNAcentral.
GACGAACCGAGCGAACGUUGUUCGGAAUCACUGGGCUUAAAGGGCGCGUAGGCGGGCUGUCAAGUCUGGGGUGAAAUCCCACGGCUCAACCCGUGGAACUGCCUUAGAUACUGACGGCCUCGAGGGAGAUAGGGGCGAGCGGAACUGUGAGUGGAGCGGUGAAAUGCGUUGAUAUUCACAGGAACUCCGGUGGCGAAGGCGGCUCGCUGGAUCUUUUCUGACGCUGAGGCGCGAAAAGCUAGGGGAGCAAACGGG